CUCCUACGGGAGGCAGCAGUGAGGAAUAUUGGUCAAUGGACGAGAGUCUGAACCAGCCAAGUAGCGUGAAGGAUGAAGGUCCUACGGAUUGUAAACUUCUUUUAUAAGGGAAUAAACCCUCCCACGUGUGGGAGCUUGUAUGUACCUUAUGAAUAAGCAUCGGCUAACUCCGUGCCAGCAGCCGCGGUAAUACGGAGGAUGCGAGCGUUAUCCGGAUUUAUUGGGUUUAAAGGGAGCGCAGACGGGUCGUUAAGUCAGCUGUGAAAGUUUGGGGCUCAACCUUAAAAUUGCAGUUGAUACUGGCGUCCUUGAGUGCGGUUGAGGUGUGCGGAAUUCGUGGUGUAGCGGUGAAAUGCUUAGAUAUCACGAAGAACUCCGAUUGCGAAGGCAGCACACUAAUCCGUAACUGACGUUCAUGCUCGAAAGUGUGGGUAUCAAACAGGAUUAGAUACCCUGGUAGUCCACACGGUAAACGAUGGAUACUCGCUGUUGGCGAUAUACUGUCAGCGGCUUAGCGAAAGCGUUAAGUAUCCCACCUGGGGAGUACGCCGGCAACGGUGAAACUCAAAGGAAUUGACGGGGGCCCGCACAAGCGGAGGAACAUGUGGUUUAAUUCGAUGAUACGCGAGGAACCUUACCCGGGCUUAAAUUGCAAAGGAAUAAUCUGGAAACAGAUUAGUCUUCGGACCUUUGUGAAGGUGCUGCAUGGUUGUCGUCAGCUCGUGCCGUGAGGUGUCGGCUUAAGUGCCAUAACGAGCGCAACCCUCGCCGCCAGUUACUAGCAGGUAAUGCUGAGGACUCUGGCGGGACUGCCAUCGUAAGAUGUGAGGAAGGUGGGGAUGACGUCAAAUCAGCACGGCCCUUACGUCCGGGGCUACACACGUGUUACAAUGGGGGGUACAGAGGGCUGCUACCACGCAAGUGGAUGCCAAUCCCAAAAACCUCUCUCAGCUCGGAUUGAAGUCUGCAACCCGACUUCAUGAAGCUGGAUUCGCUAGUAAUCGCGCAUCAGCCACGGCGCGGUGAAUACGUUCCCGGGCCUUGACACACCGCA
Molecule: ribosomal RNA, 1054 nt
Filed under: uncultured bacterium
Lineage: Bacteria
Description: bacterial SSU rRNA
Rfam family: Bacterial small subunit ribosomal RNA
Source: RNAcentral